AUCUACUGCCCAAAGCUAAGCAGGGUCGGGCAUGACCAGUACUUGGAUGGGGAGACCCCCUGGGGAUACCGGGUGCUGUAGGUA
This 84-nucleotide ribosomal RNA is filed under the name Rhinopithecus bieti (black snub-nosed monkey). Lineage: Eukaryota; Metazoa; Chordata; Mammalia; Primates; Cercopithecidae. The record is from RNAcentral.